This 74-nucleotide transfer RNA is filed under the name Perca flavescens (yellow perch). It matches the Rfam family "tRNA". Rfam says of the family: Transfer RNA (tRNA) molecules are approximately 80 nucleotides in length. Their secondary structure includes four short double-helical elements and three loops (D, anti-codon, and T loops). The record is from Rfam by way of RNAcentral. Lineage: Eukaryota; Metazoa; Chordata; Actinopteri; Perciformes; Percidae.
GUCUCUGUGGCGCAAUAGGUCAGCGCAUUCGACUGUUAACCGAAAGGAUGGUGGUUCAAGUCCACCCAGGGACG